RNAcentral lists this ribosomal RNA (253 nucleotides) under uncultured bacterium. RNAcentral's name for it is "partial 16S ribosomal RNA". It matches the Rfam family "Bacterial small subunit ribosomal RNA", at positions 524 to 776 of the family's 1533-position model. The record is from RNAcentral.
UACGUAGGGUGCGAGCGUUGUCCGGAAUCACUGGGCGUAAAGGGUGCGUAGGCGGGUUUUUAAGUCAGGGGUGAAAUCCUGGAGCUCAACUCCAGAACUGCCUUUGAUACUGAAGAUCUUGAGUCCGGGAGAGGUGAGUGGAACUGCGAGUGUAGAGGUGAAAUUCGUAGAUAUUCGCAAGAACACCAGUGGCGAAGGCGGCUCACUGGCCCGGUACUGACGCUGAGGUGCGAAAGCGUGGGGAGCAAACAGG